AGCAGCCGCGGUAAUUCCAGCUCCAAUAGCGUAUAUUAAAGUUGUUGCAGUUAAAAAGCUCGUAGUUGAAUUUCGGGGUCAGUAGGUCGGUCGUGCCACUGGUAUGAACUGGUUUUACUGAUUCCUCCCUCUUGAAGAACUGUAAUGCCAUUAAUUUGGUGUUGCAGGGAAUCAGGACUGUUACUUUGAAAAAAUUAGAGUGUUUAAAGCAGGCUUUAGCUUGAAUACAUUAGCAUGGAAUAAUGAAAUAGGACGUUUGAUCCUAUUUUGUUGGUUUCUAGGAUUGACGUAAUGAUUAAUAGGGAUAGUUGGGGGCAUUAGUAUUCAAUUGUCAGAGGUGAAAUUCUUGGAUUUAUUGAAGACUAACUACUGCGAAAGCAUUUGCCAAGGAUGUUUUCAUUAAUCAAGAACGAAAGUUAGGGGAUCGAAGACGAUCAGAUACCGUCGUAGUCUUAACCAUAAACUAUGCCGACUAGGGAUCGGACGGUGGUUUUUUUAUGCCCCG
RNAcentral lists this ribosomal RNA (505 nucleotides) under uncultured Glomeromycotina. Its description in RNAcentral is "SSU rRNA". It matches the Rfam family "Eukaryotic small subunit ribosomal RNA", at positions 569 to 1078 of the family's 1831-position model. Lineage: Eukaryota; Fungi; Glomeromycota. The record is from RNAcentral.